CUCCUGGGCACCAAUCCACAGCCGCAGGCAGACAAAGGCAGCAGGAAUGAAAUGGCGGCCAAACUACUGCAUCUCAGGUCCGUGGCUCCCUCCCAAAAACAGACGGAACUUGUUGGGAAGGCGCUCCUUCACGGCUUCCCAGGAGAACGCCUCCCUCAGAGGCCGGUCCUUAUGUCGUUGUGCCACCUGUGGACUAAGUGUCCAGCUUUCUAAAUGUAAGUUGGCUCUUAGCAGGCGGAAACACGUCUCAUACCUCUGCUGGCCACCUCGUGGCCUCACGGUAUAUGGCUUCGAGUUCCAUGAUGAAGGUGGCUUCAUCGAGUCCUGCCCCGGGAGCAACACCAAGCCCACCAACGCUGUCCACACGACUGUCGGGUGUGGAAGUCCCGGACGAUGAGCAGAGACGCAAGGCGACCCCUGCCCUCCCGCUGUUGGAGGCUGAUUGCAGAGACUGACCCUGUGGGAUUCCAGCUCAGCAGCUGAAGAGGCAGAAGGACGGAAGACAAGAUCCACCAUCUCCCGGUAGCUGAGGAUCAAUCUGGAGCUCCGGGGCCGGCGCUGGGGUGCAGCAGGUUUAGCUGUGGCCUGAGACGGCGGAGUCCCAUACAGGCACCGGUUCAAGACCUGGCUGCUCCACUUGCGAUCCAGCUGCCUGCUAUGGCCUGGGGAAGCAGUGAAAGCUGGUCCAAGUGCUUGGGCCCCUGCACCGCGUGGGAGCUCAGGUUGCAAUUCCAGUCUCUUGGCUUUGGCCUGGCCCAGCCCAGCCGGUGCUGCCAUUUGGGGAAUGAACCAGCAGCUGGAAGAUCUCUCUGUCUCUCUCUCCAUCUUUCUCUGUAACUCUGCCUUUCAAAUGAAUAUAAAGAAGUCUCUCUCUCUAUUUUUUUUUUUACAUAAGUGAACCUUAAACAGCCCAGUGCACUGACAACACAGGACGCCAGUGAGGCGGUGGAGCCACAGGAGGUCUCUCGUUGUUGGUGAUGGUGCAAACGGUGCGGCUGCUUUGGAAGACAGCUUGGUGGUGGCGUCCAAAACCGCCAUGCUCUCACCAUCCAACCCAGCAGCCAUGCACCUCGCCAAGCACCCAGAGCUGCUGGGGCCUUCCGUCCACACGAAACAACCAUGCACCUCUCCAAGCACCCAGAGCUGCUGGGACCUUCCGUCCACACGAAACAACCAUGCACCUCGCCAAGCACCCAGAGCUGCUGGGGCCUUCCAUCCACACGAAACAACCACGCACCUCACCAAGCACCCAGAGCUGCUGGGACCUUCCGUCCACACGAAAGCCGCACCUGGAUGUUUGCAGCAGCUUCAUCCAUAGCUGCUGAACACUGGGAGCAACUGGAAUGCCCUCGCAGGUGAAUGGAGAAGCAAACUGCGAUCCAGCCAGACAGCGGGGUGUGAGCUGUCAGGCUAACGAGCCACGAAAAGGCGUGGAAGGAAACUGUACAAUGCUGGAAAGCCUCCAUCCCGUGUGACUCGGGGGAUCUGGCGUUCUGGAAAAGACAAAGCUAUGAAGACAGA
Oryctolagus cuniculus (rabbit) is the source of this 1521-nucleotide non-coding RNA. The record is from RefSeq and is a predicted model, not a curated record. NCBI's taxonomy places the organism in Eukaryota, Metazoa, Chordata, Mammalia, Lagomorpha, Leporidae.